Molecule: unclassified non-coding RNA, 1656 nt
Filed under: Hevea brasiliensis (rubber tree)
Lineage: Eukaryota; Viridiplantae; Streptophyta; Magnoliopsida; Malpighiales; Euphorbiaceae
Source: RNAcentral
AAAAAUCCAAACGGUCAAUGAGACGACAGACUUUUUGUCUUUGUGUAGACACUGGCAGAGUGCACCGAUCACACGCGCACACACACAACACACAAGCAUUCCUCUCUCCCUCCCUCUGUAACAAUGGCAUCUUCUAAUCCUAAUGGGGUUUCUGCUUUCGAGGACGUUCCUGGAGCUGCCGAAGUUCCGGUUUAUGCGGUGAUGGCUGCUUUUAGCAAAGAUCCUAGUCCAGUAAAGCUCAAUUUGGUGUUUGGUGUUUACCGAGCAGAGGAUGGAAAGCCUCAUGUCUUGAAUGUUGUUAGACGAGCGGAGCGACUACUAAUUGAAAACAUGUCUGCCAAUAAAGAAUAUCUCCCCAUUGCUGGGUUGGCAGAAUUUAAUAAAUUGAGUGCAAAGCUUGUCUUUGGUGCUGAUAGCCCUGCUAUCACAGAGAACAGAGUGACUACCGUCCAGUGUGUGUCUGGUUGUGGCUCACUGAGGAUUGGAGCUGAGUUUUUAGCAAAACAUUACCACCAACAUAUAGUAUACCUUCCCCAGCCAACAUAUGGAAAUCAUCCAAAUUUUUUCUUAGCAGCAGGUCAUACGUUGAAGACUUACCGAUAUUAUGAUCCAACAACACAUGGGCUGGACUUUCAAGGACUGUUGGAGGACCUUAGUUGCGCAUCAUCAGGAGCCAUUGUGCUUCUCCAAGCAUGUGGCCACAACCCUACUGGUGUUGAUCCAACUUUUGAGCAAUGGGAGCAGAUCAGGCAGCUGAUAAGGUUAAAAGGACUGUUACCUUUUUUCGAUUGUGCGUAUCAGGUAGACAACUAUUGGAAUAAAGUUAUAACCUUCAGCAGUUCCCUGAAUGCAUGAUAACCUUCAUCUCCUUUCUAUUUUUUCUGUUUAUUUCAAUGAUGCAUUCUGCGCCAUCCAGGGUUUUGUGAGUGGAAAUUUGGAUAUGGAUGCACAAUCUAUUCGAAUAUUUGUAGCAGAUGGUGGUGAAUGCCUUGUAGCUCAAUCUUAUUCCAAAAUAAUGGGAAUUUAUGCGGAGCGUGUUGGUGCACUUAGCAUUGUGUGCAAGACAGCAGAUGUGGCAAGCCGGGUUAAUAGCCAGCUAAAACUUGUGAUCAGACCCAUGCAUUCAAGCCCACCCAUCCAUGGGGCAGCCAUUGUGGCUACCAUCCUAAAGGAUAGGGAAAUGGUCACUGAAUGGACUGUUGAGUUGAAGGCAAUGGUUGAUCGCAUUAUUAAGCUGCGCCAGCAACUCUAUGAUGCUUUACAUGACAGAGGGACACCUGGGGACUGGAGCCACAUUACUAGGCAGGUUGGAUUGUACACUUUCUCUGGAUUAAAUGAGGAGCAAGUUGCCUUAAUGAUGAAAGAAUACCACAUCUACAUGUCAUCCGAUGGGAGGAUUAACGUGGCAGGCCUGAGUGAAAAAGUAGUCCCUUAUCUUGCAGGUGCAAUACAUGCAGCUGUUACCUGCAUGCGGUAGACCAUUUCCAACUGUGAUUCAUUCAUAUUUGCCAAUUUCGAGUUGUAAUGCUGCUAUGUUAUGCGAUUAUCAAGAAGUAGACAUUUACUUGUGGAUAUUUUUAAUUUUUUAAGUUAUUAAUGGAACAAAUAAUGAGAAUAUACAUUAUAGAUAUUUAUGGAAAAUUUUGUUAAUUAUUU